CAACUGUUCCUAUAAAACAAUCCUUACCAAUCAUAUAGAAUAGGUUCUGUAAAUAAUUAGAUGUUUACCAGCCAAGAAUGGGAAACUAUAUUUGCUCUGUGCAAUACUGAAGAUGGAAGUCUACAGGGUUCCAGAGAUGCAUAGGAAAUAAAAUUUCAUUUAUAGAAACAAGAAACAUUUUAUUUAAUGGAAUGUACUGAUGCUAGUAGACACAACACAAAUAAAAGAAAAAUGUAUCCACUAGUUCAUCAGAAUGUUGUAAGAUGGAGAUCGUGAAAACAGAGGACUGUCAUUGUCUCAAAGGAAUUUCUUGAAAGACUGUGAGUGAAGUGGAUGUGCCCGUGGUGCUCCGUAAUAUGCUAGGUUUUUUUAUAGCUGUUGUUGGGUCCAGCCUAAUUUUGUUUAUUGAUUAUAAUGAUAUAAUAAUAGUUACAUGAGCAUAAAUAUAUUAUUAUGAUCAAAUAUUUAUCAAAUAAUAUAAUAAACAUUGAUAUGACAUAUUUGUAUUUUAAUAUUAUGUACAAGGUAAUUACUGAUUAGUUUUAUAUUAAUGAUUAA
Molecule: non-coding RNA, 558 nt
Organism: Cinara cedri
Lineage: Eukaryota; Metazoa; Arthropoda; Insecta; Hemiptera; Aphididae
Source: the annotation of a GenBank genome assembly